Molecule: long non-coding RNA, 365 nt
Filed under: Medicago truncatula (barrel medic)
Lineage: Eukaryota; Viridiplantae; Streptophyta; Magnoliopsida; Fabales; Fabaceae
Description: long non-coding RNA (MTRU_LNC000107)
Source: RNAcentral
GUUUUAGGAGUUACUACCCAACGGUGGGGUAGUGGCGAUUCAUAUGCAUUAGGUGAUUCAGAAUAAUGCCCAAUGGUGGGGUACUGAACAUCGAAUUUUUAGGGGUUAUUACCCAAUGGUGGGACAUUUGGCUCCGUUUAGAGGUGAAAUCCGGAUCAUGAGCAUUUGCAUAUAGACUGACCAAUAGAAAUUAACGCAUUUUAGUCAGGUUGUAACUUAAGACGAGAUGUGGUGAUUAUGGAACUGAGUAAUGUGUCUUGUACGGUCUAUUUAUUUAUUUGGUUAUCUUUUGUGUAAAUUUAUAUAUGCAUGCAUAUUUGUACUAUGUUUGUUAGUUGGAGAUGACCCUUACUUUUGGACAGAUG